AGAUAAAAAUAAAAAUAACUUUAGACGGCAAGACGCGCUUUAAAUAAUAAUAAUUAUUAAUAUAAUAGUUUUGUGGUGAUAAUAAUAAUGAUAAAGAGACUUAAAAGCCCCGACUAAAAGAUGUAUAGUUGUUUUGGUACGUGUGUGCUUGGUGUGUAUAUGGUAAAAUCGGGUAUUCGUCGUCGAUGUAGCUUCAUUCAUGCCCGCGGGAAUUGCGACGCCCGUGUAUCUUAAGAAACACCGCUAGGAGAUAAUAGCACGCGGACUCCAAAUAAAAGGCAUCAACUGUGCUCUACUACUCUUGUUUGGAGAUAUUUAUGACACCCAUUCAUCUUAAAUCAUUUUUACUGACAUUAUAUUGCACUUAUAAGCCGUAAAAGGAUUUGUCUGGUUUGAUGUUUAUAUGACCGCAUAUGAAUACGAUACGAUAUAUGAUAAUAAAUGAUGAAAUGAAUCGUCAAGAAUAAAAAUAACUGAAUAAUCCUCUUUUUCUCUACAUAUGUAUACAUAUACAACGGCUCUCUACUCUCAUCUCAUCUUUAACUUGGUUGACGUUGUAUAUAUAUGUUGGAUCGCGGCUCUCGACGUUUCUUCAAAGUGAAGCUAAUCCUCCAACCCGUUCUCUUACUCUGACUUAAACUUGUCUCUGAACUACCAUACACCGCACAUAUACAUAUACACAUACCUAUGUAUUAUAUGUACAAUAUAAUACAAUACAAGGCAUAUAUGUAAUACUCUUCUUUCUCUCGUCUGUCUUUGUCUCUGGUCUCAGUACCCUCCGUACUCUAAAGAGCGUUUGAUCCUUCCGUCCAUGCGGUUUUCCAAACGUCCCACGAGUCAAGUCAUGUGGCACGUUUUAAGUUCAUUGAGGGCUAAAACACGUUUUACGUAAACAACUUGCCGAGAUAUGUGCAUAUCUGUAUACAAUGCAACACAAUGACAAUAACGACUAACAACUAAAAAAUUUAAUUUUUCUUCUUAUUGCAAAUCCUUUUAAAUUUAAUAUGAUAAACAAAAUAAAACCUCUAGAAUAUUUUUUAUUUUUUGCAUAUUUAAAUUUAUGAUUUUUGCAAUGGAUUUUAUUAGAUUGCCUGAAAGAAAAUCUUUA
Molecule: long non-coding RNA, 1108 nt
Organism: Cotesia glomerata
Lineage: Eukaryota; Metazoa; Arthropoda; Insecta; Hymenoptera; Braconidae
Exons: 3
Source: RefSeq, a predicted model, not a curated record